Molecule: non-coding RNA, 207 nt
Organism: Pelobates cultripes (western spadefoot toad)
Lineage: Eukaryota; Metazoa; Chordata; Amphibia; Anura; Pelobatidae
Source: the annotation of a GenBank genome assembly
UCUGUGCCCGAGCGGCAUGACCACACCAGCAUGCUGAGCUUACCUGCUCCGCGGCGAGCCGGGAACCGCUCCUCCACGCCUCUUGGGAAAAACCAUUAAUGGUUUUUAGUCCUGCUCCACCUCCAGAAGCUGAACCCAUGCAAUUGGGCAUUGCUAAACUAACUGAGGCAACACAACUAAGAAAGACAACACAGACGCAACGAGGGG